This 131-nucleotide small nucleolar RNA is filed under the name Echinops telfairi (small Madagascar hedgehog). RNAcentral's name for it is "Small nucleolar RNA SNORA42/SNORA80 family (ENSETEG00000022503.1)". Lineage: Eukaryota; Metazoa; Chordata; Mammalia; Afrosoricida; Tenrecidae. The record is from RNAcentral.
GUAUACAUUCUUCAUGAAAAGAUGAAAUUGAUGGGCCUCUCAUAGUGUCCCGUGCCAGAGUGAACUGUAACCCCGAACCAUUCCCUGGCUCUAUCCCAUGGGCGUUGGGCACUAAAGUGGGUUGCACAGUG